Molecule: long non-coding RNA, 599 nt
Filed under: Equus caballus (horse)
Lineage: Eukaryota; Metazoa; Chordata; Mammalia; Perissodactyla; Equidae
Description: lncRNA (ENSECAG00000052369.1)
Source: RNAcentral
UCUUGCCUCCCCACCUUCUGCUUAGAGUGCCCCAAGAAUCAUCACCUCAGAUGUGCUUUGUCCCAGCAAAGGAAUCUCACAGACUGGGAGCCAGGAGGCCCGGCUUUGGGGCCCAGCUCUGCCAUAGACUCCUUCAGCAUGUGACCUGUGCCCAGCGAUGACUCCCAGCUCUGCUGGGUCUCAAACCAGAAGAAACAGAACAAGGCCAGAGACACAAUCAAGGAUGAGGAAGGGGCCAGGCCUGGGAUGAGGAUGCAGAGACAAUAAGAACCACCCAGGUGCCUGGCUUCACUUGCAGAGUUACUCCUGCCCCAGUUUAAACUGCUACAAAUAAAUUGUGUGUGUGUGUGUGUCCCGAGAGCUGGCGAUCCCUCAUCAGCCUAACUCCUUACUCCCAACAUCAGGACCACCAAGCAGAGGGCAAAACUAGGAGGCAGGAGACUAGAGGUCUGGUCUGCCUGCCCCACCCCCCCUCUGCUGUGGCUAUCUGCAGUGUAACUUUAGACCAGUCACUGAAUCUGUCCCCCAACCCCCAGCCUUUGUUUCUUCAUCUACAAAAUUGAAGAGGAGGUUGACCAGAGGACCUGUUUAUACUCUAG